Molecule: RNA transcript, 2404 nt
Organism: Elaeis guineensis (African oil palm)
Lineage: Eukaryota; Viridiplantae; Streptophyta; Magnoliopsida; Arecales; Arecaceae
Gene name: UPF0481 protein At3g47200
Source: RefSeq, a predicted model, not a curated record
CAAUCUUUCUCGGACGCGGUUUGGACCCAGUCCAGGCUGGUGAAUUAAACAAAAAUUCCACCCGCGUCGGUAUCAAGUGGCGUUAAUUUGUCCCGAUAGAUCCCGGAGAACGGAGGAGAAACAAAGAAGAAGAGCGGAGGUUUCUACGCAAAAAAGAAGUGAAGAGUGAGGGUGAGGAGGAAGAGCAGAAGACACAGACUCGCGAGCUCCAUCAAAGCCAACUGUUGGUCGUAACAUGGACGAACAAUCCCCUGAUGACAUAUUGCACAGCCUCUCCAUUGAAGGAGGGGAGGAAUGCUCUUCGGCAAGCAGAGGAAUGCCUUCCAGUGCCACAUCUAUGACUCAUAGCAAAACCAAUGUGGAAGAGAUCUCGUGGAUCAGUAAAGUGAGGAAAAACAUAAAUUUAGCACGCCAUGUGGACCAUCCCAAUGGCCGAUGCACCAUCUUCAAGGUCCCUGAGCACAUCCGACAACUAGAUCCUAAAGCUUACACUCCAGUGGUUGCUUCCCUCGGACCUUUUCACCACGCCGACCCGUAUUCAACAUCUGCCAUUCAGAGUCACAAGUGGCGGUGCGUCCGGCACCUUCUAUCGUGUCAUCAAAGUCAAAAGUGUGCGAGCCAAUUGUUGGAUAAGUGCUUGUUGGAUUUGAAGAAACAGGAUGACAAGGUCCGGAGCUGCUACUCUGAGGAAUUUUCUGCACUGAAUGCCGAAGAUAUGGCAUUGAUCAUGUUGCUUGAUGGGUGCUUUAUCCUUUAUCUCAUGCUACGAAGGGAGAAAUUGUUCGAGAAGUUGAAAAAGAAGGGGUUGGAAGAGAAGAUGAAGGAGGUCGACAGGGACGUGGUAAGAAAUUUGGAAUAUGAGACAGUCGAAGAGGAUGAGAGCAAGAAGAGGAGGGAGUGUAUGAUUGAUAUAGGAGAAGGGGAUCAGGUGGUUUUAAAUAUCGAGGAGAAGGAUAGACAUCUUGAGGGCCCAACUAUGGCAGGGCUAAGUACUCUUGGUCUGGUGGUUCAAGAUCUGCUAAAGCUUGAGAACCAAAUUCCUUUCUUCAUCAUCCAAUUGCUAUUUGAUAAUCUCAAAGCACCUAAGGAUGGAGAUGUUGAUCUGGUUGACCUUGCCCUUCACCUCUUCAAGUGCAUCCAUCCCAAUCCCAAAGAAUCCAAAUCAUUCAAAAAAAGUCCCCUAGCAAAUACCAUCAUCUGCUCCAUCUAUUUUAUUCAUCUCGGAUCCCUUUAAACGGGCUACCAUCCCCUGAGGAAGCUGAUCCUUCGCAAGGGGCUUCGGCAUUUGCACCCAAGUGGACUCCUAAUGCGACGGAGCUCCAAAGGGCUGGGGUGAAGUUCGCGAGGAAGGAAUCGGCAGACAGUUCCCUGUCCGUAACAUUCGAGUGGAGGAAGAUGAAGAUCGCACCACUGCUAUGCCUCUUGAAGUUGGCGAGUGGACGGAUGCAUAUACCACCGCUACAAAUCUAUGACGGUACCGAUUCUCUCUUCCGAAACCUCAUAGCUUUCGAACAGUGCUAUUUCAAUACUAAGAUGUACUUCACGAUAUACGCACUCUUUAUGCACUCCAUCAUCGCCCAUGCUAAGGACGUUCGGUUGCUCCACUUGGAAGGUAUACUAGAACACGGAUUGAGCAAUGAUCAAGCAGUGGUAGAUCUCUUCAAUGAGUUGGGCAAUCAGAUAUACGUCAUCUGUGACAUGAACUAUCUUGCAAAUCAGAUUAAGAAAGUAAACGAGUUUUAUGGCUCUAAAUGGCGCAAAUGGCUUGCUGGAUUGAGGCGAGACUAUCUUGACGGCCCAUGGGCCAUAAUUUCAAUAUUGGCAGCAAUCUUUCUUCUCUUGCUGACCGUCGAGCAAGCAACAUUUUCUGCUUUGUCCUAUUUUUACAAUUCAUAGGUGUUAUUAGCAUGCUCCCUUAUGCGAGUAUGGUUCAGAAGAGAGAUUUAAUGGAAGGGUGAGUGGAUAAGAAAGAAUUCCCUCCAAAUAUGGAUAUUAGUGUGGUUGCUAGGUUGUAUAGAUAAAUAUGGUUGGGCUAUGUUACGGACCUCAUAAAAAAAUAAUCCACUGUGAUGUAUCAUGGUUCCCAUGCUAUCUGCUUGGAAGCUAUCUAAUGGCUAUAAUGUGGUUGUGUCAAGGUUCCAGCACAUGGAAUUGGAAUUAAAUUCUUCUGUUGGUUACUCUUCAUCUAGUUAAGUUUCAUCUUGAUAUUUUAAAUGCAUUUUACUCAAGGACACUUGUUGAUGAAUGCUAUGUUUGUUUGAGGGGCAUUAUCUGCAAAAUCUCCGGGUUUCCCCCAUUUCUCCCUCUAAUAUUUAAAAGGAUAGGUUUUUUUGAAGUUGUAGUGUUGUUUAAUUAUUCCAUUUCUUUUAAAAAUUAUGUCGAACUAGUUUUGGACACAGUUAUC